Molecule: ribosomal RNA, 208 nt
Filed under: uncultured bacterium
Lineage: Bacteria
Description: partial 16S ribosomal RNA
Rfam family: Bacterial small subunit ribosomal RNA
Source: RNAcentral
CGCGUAGGUGGUUAAUUAAGUCAAAUGUGAAAUCCCCCGAGCUUAACUUGGGAAUUGCAUUCGAUACUGGUUAGCUAGAGUAUGGGAGAGGAUGGUAGAAUUCCAGGUGUAGCGGUGAAAUGCGUAGAGAUCUGGAGGAAUACCGAUGGCGAAGGCAGCCAUCUGGCCUAAUACUGACGCUGAGGUACGAAAGCAUGGGGAGCAAACA